Non-coding RNA from Mycena latifolia, 92 nucleotides. The record is from the annotation of a GenBank genome assembly. Lineage: Eukaryota; Fungi; Basidiomycota; Agaricomycetes; Agaricales; Mycenaceae.
CACCCGGUAGCACACGGAGUGCAUCUGCCAUUCAUACAGGGCAGCUAAAUCAGUGCAGGUAGAACGCCCCCGUUCGAUUCGGGGCCGGGUGA